This 492-nucleotide ribosomal RNA is filed under the name uncultured bacterium. RNAcentral describes it as "partial 16S ribosomal RNA". It matches the Rfam family "Bacterial small subunit ribosomal RNA", at positions 29 to 507 of the family's 1533-position model. The record is from RNAcentral.
AGUGAACGCUGGCGGUAGGCCUAACACAUGCAAGUCGAACGGCAGCACAGUAAGAGCUUGCUCUUACGGGUGGCGAGUGGCGGACGGGUGAGGAAUACUUCGGAAUCUACUUUUUCGUGGGGGAUAACGUAGGGAAACUUACGCUAAUACCGCAUACGACCUACGGGUGAAAGCAGGGGAUCUUCGGACCUUGCGCGAUUGAAUGAGCCGAUGUCGGAUUAGCUAGUUGGCGGGGUAAAGGCCCACCAAGGCGACGAUCCGUAGCUGGUCUGAGAGGAUGAUCAGCCACACUGGAACUGAGACACGGUCCAGACUCCUACGGGAGGCAGUAGUGGGGAAUAUUGGACAAUGGGCGCAAGCCUGAUCCAGCCAUACCGCGUGGGUGAAGAAGGCCUUCGGGUUGUAAAGCCCUUUUGUUGGGAAAGAAAAGCAGCAGGUUAAUACCCCGCUGUUCUGACGGUACCCAAAGAAUAAGCACCGGCUAACUUCGUG